GUUGGCGGGGUAACGGCCCACCAAGGCUAUGACGGGUAGCUGGUCUGAGAGGACGACCAGUCACACGGGGACUGAGACACGGCCCCGACUCCUACGGGAGGCAGCAGUGGGGAAUUUUCCGCAAUGGGCGAAAGCCUGACGGAGUGACGCCGCGUGUGGGACGAAGGCCUUCGGGUCGUAAACCACUGUCAGUGGGAAAGAAGGGUGUCGGCGCUAAUACCGCCGGCAUUUGACGGUACCUGCAGAGGAAGCCCCGGCCAACUCUGUGCCAGCAGCCGCGGUAAGACAGAGGGGGCAAGCGUUGCUCGGAAUUACUGGGCGUAAAGGGCGCGUAGGCGGGAUGGCAAGUCGGUCGUGAAAUCCUUCGGCUCAACCGAAGAACGUCGAUCGAUACUGCUGUUCUUGAGGGUUGCAGAGGAGACUGGAAUUCCCGGUGUAGCGGUGAAAUGUGUAGAGAUCGGGAGGAACACCGGUGGCGAAGGCGGGUCUCUGGGCAAUUCCUGACGCUGAGGCGCGAAAGCGUGGGGAGCAAACGGGAU
Molecule: ribosomal RNA, 539 nt
Filed under: uncultured bacterium
Lineage: Bacteria
Description: bacterial SSU rRNA
Rfam family: Bacterial small subunit ribosomal RNA
Source: RNAcentral